UGGCGGCAUGCUUACACAUGCAAGUCGGACGGGCAGCACAGAGAAGCUUGCUUCUUGGGUGGCGAGUGGCGAACGGGUGAGUAACAUAUCGGAACGUACCGAGUAAUGGGGGAUAACUAAUCGAAAGAUUAGCUGAUACCGCAUAUUCUCUGAGGAGGAAAGCAGGGGACCUUCGGGCCUUGCGUUAUUCGAGCGGCCGAUAUCUGAUUAGCUAGUUGGUGGGGUAAAGGCCUACCAAGGCGACGAUCAGUAGCGGGUCUGAGAGGAUGAUCCGCCACACUGGGACUGAGACACGGCCCAGACUCCUACGGGAGGCAGCAGUGGGGAAUUUUGGACAAUGGGCGCAAGCCUGAUCCAGCCAUGCCGCGUGUCUGAAGAAGGCCUUCGGGUUGUAAAGGACUUUUGUCAGGGAAGAAAAGGCUGUCGCUAAUACCGACAGUUGAUGACGGUACCUGAAGAAUAAGCACCGGCUAACUACGUGCCAGCAGCCGCGGUAAUACGUAGGGUGCAAGCGUUAAUCGGAAUUACUGGGCGUAAAGCGAGCGCAGACGGUUACUUAAGCAGGAUGUGAAAUCCCCGGGCUCAACCUGGGAACUGCGUUCUGAACUGGGUGACUAGAGUGUGUCAGAGGGAGGUAGAAUUCCACGUGUAGCAGUGAAAUGCGUAGAGAUGUGGAGGAAUACCGAUGGCGAAGGCAGCCUCCUGGGAUAACACUGACGUUCAUGCUCGAAAGCGUGGGUAGCAAACAGGAUUAGAUACCCUGGUAGUCCACGCCCUAAACGAUGUCAAUUAGCUGUUGGGCAACUUGACUGCUUAGUAGCGUAGCUAACCG
This 832-nucleotide ribosomal RNA is filed under the name uncultured Neisseria sp. RNAcentral describes it as "bacterial SSU rRNA". It matches the Rfam family "Bacterial small subunit ribosomal RNA", at positions 37 to 857 of the family's 1533-position model. The record is from RNAcentral. Lineage: Bacteria; Pseudomonadati; Pseudomonadota; Betaproteobacteria; Neisseriales; Neisseriaceae.